AAUCAACGCUGGCGGCGCGCUUAACACAUGCAAGUCGAACGAGAAAGUGGAGCAAUCCAUGAGUAAAGUGGCGUACGGGUGAGUAACACGUGGAUGAUCUACCUCUUAGUGGGGAAUAACUCCGGGAAACUGGAGAUAAUACCGCAUAAGCCUGGGAAGGGAAAGAAGCAAUUCGCUGAGAGAGGAGUCCGCGGCCGAUUAGCUAGUUGGCAGGGUAAAAGCCUACCAAGGCGAUGAUCGGUAGCCGGCCUGAGAGGGCACACGGCCACACUGGCAC
This 277-nucleotide ribosomal RNA is filed under the name uncultured bacterium. RNAcentral describes it as "partial 16S ribosomal RNA". It matches the Rfam family "Bacterial small subunit ribosomal RNA", at positions 32 to 319 of the family's 1533-position model. The record is from RNAcentral.